Molecule: ribosomal RNA, 232 nt
Filed under: uncultured bacterium
Lineage: Bacteria
Description: partial 16S ribosomal RNA
Rfam family: Bacterial small subunit ribosomal RNA
Source: RNAcentral
CGGGUGAGUAACACGUGGGUGACCUGCCCUUAGCUCUGGGAUAAGCCUGGGAAACUGGGUCUAAUACCGGAUAUGACUCCAUGACGCAUGUUUGUGGGGUGGAAAGCCUUGUGCGGCUAGGGAUGGGCCCGCGGCCUAUCAGCUUGUUGGUGGGGUGAUGGCCUACCAAGGCGACGACGGGUAGCCGGCCUGAGAGGGCGACCGGCCACACUGGGACUGAGACACGGCCCAG